UUGGAAAGUCCGGUACGAAUUAAGAUUAUAGUUAUUCUAUUCUGUUUAAAUAGAGGAAUUAAAUUUAAAGAAAUUUAUCAAGAAUAUUCUCUUGGCGAACUUAUUAUUCUUUUCUUCGUAUGUUUUAAGAUAAUAAAUAAUUUAACUAAAUCCGGCUUAU
RNAcentral lists this non-coding RNA (160 nucleotides) under Pneumocystis sp. 'macacae'. Lineage: Eukaryota; Fungi; Ascomycota; Pneumocystomycetes; Pneumocystales; Pneumocystaceae. The record is from RNAcentral.